GGGUUGUGAGGUUAAGUGACUAAGCGUACACGGUGGAUGCCUAGGCAGUCAGAGGCGAUGAAGGGCGUGCUAAUCUGCGAAAAGCGUCGGUAAGGUGAUAUGAACCGUUAUAACCGGCGAUACCCGAAUGGGGAAACCCAGUGUGUUUCGACACACUAUCAUGUCAUGAAUACAUAGUGGCAUGAGGCGAACCGGGGGAACUGAAACAUCUAAGUACCCCGAGGAAAAGAAAUCAACCGAGAUUCCCCCAGUAGCGGCGAGCGAACGGGGAGGAGCCCAGAACCUGAAUCGGCUUGUGUGUUAGUGGAAGCGUCUGGAAAGUCGCGCAGCAAAGGGUGAUAGCCCCGUACACUAAAAUGCACAGGUCGUGAGUUCGAUGAGUAGGGCGGGACACGUGACAUCCUGUCUGAAUAUGGGGGGACCAUCCUCCAAGGCUAAAUACUCCUGACUGACCGAUAGUGAACCAGUACCGUGAGGGAAAGGCGAAAAGAACCCCGGCGAGGGGAGUGAAAUAGAACCUGAAACCGUGUACGUACAAGCAGUGGGAGCACCUUCGUGGUGUGACUGCGUACCUUUUGUAUAAUGGGUCAGCGACUUAUAUUUUGUAGCAAGGUUAACCGUAUAGGGGAGCCGUAGGGAAACCGAGUCUUAACUGGGCGAAUAGUUGCAAGGUAUAGACCCGAAACCCGGUGAUCUAGCCAUGGGCAGGUUGAAGGUUGGGUAACACUAACUGGAGGACCGAACCGACUAAUGUUGAAAAAUUAGCGGAUGACUUGUGGCUGGGGGUGAAAGGCCAAUCAAACCGGGAGAUAGCUGGUUCUCCCCGAAAGCUAUUUAGGUAGCGCCUCGUGAACUCAUCUUCGGGGGUAGAGCACUGUUUCGGCUAGGGGGCCAUCCCGGCUUACCAAACCGAUGCAAACUCCGAAUACCGAAGAAUGUUAUCACGGGAGACACACGGCGGGUGCUAACGUCCGUCGUGAAGAGGGAAACAACCCAGACCGCCAGCUAAGGUCCCAAAGUCAUGGUUAAGUGGGAAACGAUGUGGGAAGGCAUAGACAGCCAGGAUGUUGGCUUAGAAGCAGCCAUCAUUUAAAGAAAGCGUAAUAGCUCACUGGUCGAGUCGGCCUGCGCGGAAGAUGUAACGGGGCUAAACCAUGCACCGAAGCUGCGGCAGCGACGCUUAGGCGUUGUUGGGUAGGGGAGCGUUCUGUAAGCCGUUGAAGGUGGCCUGUGAGGGUUGCUGGAGGUAUCAGAAGUGCGAAUGCUGACAUAAGUAACGAUAAAGCGGGUGAAAAGCCCGCUCGCCGGAAGACCAAGGGUUCCUGUCCAACGUUAAUCGGGGCAGGGUGAGUCGACCCCUAAGGCGAGGCUGAAAAGCGUAGUCGAUGGGAAACAGGUUAAUAUUCCUGUACUUGGUGUUACUGCGAAGGGGGGACGGAGAAGGCUAGGCUAGCCGGGCGACGGUUGUCCCGGUUUAAGCGUGUAGGGGGUGUGACCUGGUAAAUCCGGUUGCAUAUCAACCCUGAGGCGUGAUGACGAUGCACUACGGUGCAGAAGUAGUUGAUGCCCUGCUUCCAGGAAAAUCCUCUAAGCUCCAGGUAACAUUAAAUCGUACCCCAAACCGACACAGGUGGUCAGGUAGAGAAUACCAAGGCGCUUGAGAGAACUCGGGUGAAGGAACUAGGCAAAAUGGUGCCGUAACUUCGGGAGAAGGCACGCUGGCAUGUAGGUGAAGUCCCUUGCGGAUGGAGCUGAAGCCAGUCGAAGAUACCAGCUGGCUGCAACUGUUUAAUAAAAACACAGCACUGUGCAAACACGAAAGUGGACGUAUACGGUGUGACGCCUGCCCGGUGCUGGAAGGUUAAUUGAUGGGGUCAGCCGCAAGGCGAAGCUCUUGAUCGAAGCCCCAGUAAACGGCGGCCGUAACUAUAACGGUCCUAAGGUAGCGAAAUUCCUUGUCGGGUAAGUUCCGACCUGCACGAAUGGCGUAAUGAUGGCCAGGCUGUCUCCACCCGAGACUCAGUGAAAUUGAACUCGCUGUGAAGAUGCAGUGUACCCGCGGCAAGACGGAAAGACCCCGUGAACCUUUACUAUAGCUUGACACUGAACAUUGAGCCUUGAUGUGUAGGAUAGGUGGGAGGCUUUGAAGCGUGGACGCCAGUCUGCGUGGAGCCAUCCUUGAAAUACCACCCUUUAAUGUUUGAUGUUCUAACUCGGCCCCGUAAUCCGGGGUGAGGACAGUGUCUGGUGGGUAGUUUGACUGGGGCGGUCUCCUCCCAAAGAGUAACGGAGGAGCACGAAGGUUAGCUAAUCACGGUCGGACAUCGUGAGGUUAGUGCAAAGGCAUAAGCUAGCUUGACUGCGAGAGUGACGGCUCGAGCAGGUACGAAAGUAGGUCUUAGUGAUCCGGUGGUUCUGAAUGGAAGGGCCAUCGCUCAACGGAUAAAAGGUACUCCGGGGAUAACAGGCUGAUACCGCCCAAGAGUUCAUAUCGACGGCGGUGUUUGGCACCUCGAUGUCGGCUCAUCACAUCCUGGGGCUGAAGUAGGUCCCAAGGGUAUGGCUGUUCGCCAUUUAAAGUGGUACGCGAGCUGGGUUUAGAACGUCGUGAGACAGUUCGGUCCCUAUCUGCCGUGGGCGUUGGAAGAUUGAGAGGGGUUGCUCCUAGUACGAGAGGACCGGAGUGAACGCACCACUGGUGUUCGGGUUGUCAUGCCAAUGGCAUUGCCCGGUAGCUAAGUGCGGAAAAGAUAAGCGCUGAAAGCAUCUAAGCGCGAAACUUGCCUCAAGAUGAGUCUUCCCUGGGCCUUUAAGGUCCCUGAAGGAACGUUUAAGACUAAGACGUUGAUAGGCUGGGUGUGUAAGUGCAGCGAUGCAUUGAGCUAACCAGUACUAAUGAUCCGUGAGGCUUAACCUUACAACACCGAAGGUGUUU
Molecule: ribosomal RNA, 2935 nt
Filed under: Serratia marcescens
Lineage: Bacteria; Pseudomonadati; Pseudomonadota; Gammaproteobacteria; Enterobacterales; Yersiniaceae
Description: 23S ribosomal RNA
Rfam family: Bacterial large subunit ribosomal RNA
Source: RNAcentral